GGGCAAGACUUAUACGACCAGCUCCUGCUGAACUCCCCCAGGGUCGGAAGGCAGCAAGGGUAAGCGGUUGUAGCGGUGCGAUAUAAGAAACUUGCCCAUU
This 100-nucleotide signal recognition particle RNA is filed under the name Chitinophagales bacterium. RNAcentral's name for it is "signal recognition particle sRNA small type". It matches the Rfam family "Bacteroidales small SRP". Rfam says of the family: The non-coding component of the signal recognition particle in Bacteroides Lineage: Bacteria; Pseudomonadati; Bacteroidota; Chitinophagia; Chitinophagales. The record is from RNAcentral.